UACGUAUGUCUCAAGCGUUACCCGGAAUCAUUGGGUGUAAAGGGUUUGUAGGUGGAUAAUUAAGUCAGGUAUGAAAGACCGGAGCUCAACUCCGUGUUUGUAUUUGAAACUGGUUGUCUAGAAUCAGGGAGAGGUAAGCGGAAUUCUAAGUGUAGGGGUGCAAUCCGUAGAUACUUAGAGGAACACCAAAAGCGAAGGCAGCUUACUGGAACUGUAUUGACACUGAUAAACGAAAGCGUGGGGAGCGAAAAGG
This 253-nucleotide ribosomal RNA is filed under the name uncultured bacterium. RNAcentral's name for it is "partial 16S ribosomal RNA". It matches the Rfam family "Bacterial small subunit ribosomal RNA", at positions 524 to 776 of the family's 1533-position model. The record is from RNAcentral.